Molecule: ribosomal RNA, 427 nt
Filed under: uncultured Cellvibrio sp.
Lineage: Bacteria; Pseudomonadati; Pseudomonadota; Gammaproteobacteria; Cellvibrionales; Cellvibrionaceae
Description: bacterial SSU rRNA
Rfam family: Bacterial small subunit ribosomal RNA
Source: RNAcentral
AGUGGGGAAUAUUGGACAAUGGGCGCAAGCCUGAUCCAGCCAUGCCGCGUGUGUGAAGAAGGCCUUAGGGUUGUAAAGCACUUUCAGUGGGGAGAAAGGUUAUUCACCUAAUACGUGAGUAAAUUGAUGUUACCCACAGAAGAAGCACCGGCUAACUCCGUGCCAGCAGCCGCGGUAAUACGGAGGGUGCAAGCGUUAAUCGGAAUUACUGGGCGUAAAGCGCACGUAGGUGGUUUGUUAAGCUAGCUGUGAAAUCCCCGGGCUCAACCUGGGCACUGCAGUUAGAACUGGCAAGCUAGAGUAGGGUAGAGGGGUGUGGAAUUCCAGGUGUAGCGGUGAAAUGCGUAGAUAUCUGGAGGAACAUCAGUGGCGAAGGCGACACCCUGGACUCAUACUGACACUGAGGUGCGAAAGCGUGGGGAGCAAA